CUCUCUCUCUCUCUCUCUCUCUUCUUUUUCUCCACAAACUCGUUAAAGAAUAUAUAUAUAAUAUCGCCAAUAAUAUCAGAUAUGAAGUUUAUAGAAUUAGGGUAUUAGAUUUUGCAACUUCAAAACUUUUGUACAGGUGUGAAUUAUUUUAUUCUUGUAUUGCUCUGGAUCCCUAAAUUGAUACAGGGCCGGCCCUGGCCCAAGGCGACCAGGCGAUUGCCUUGGGCCUCAGAUUUUAAAGGGCCUCAAAUUUUGAGGCCCAUAGGGGAUGGAAAAAUAAAAUAAAAAUAAGUUAGGGCAAGUUUCAGACGACACAAUCUGCUUCGACACUCCACAGGGCUAUCGCCUCCGCUAUCGCCUCAGGUGACAAGGGGUUCUGGAUAUAUGACGGAGGCUCAAUCUUGUGAGAAUGCUUCUCCUGGCACCCGGGUUAAAGCUACAUUUGUCCUUGGAUCAGAAACAUAUCCUGUUCAUGUAAACAAAGGAAUUCUUUCUGAGCAAUUGGUUUCAAUGAAGGAAGAGAGCAUGAGCGUACUGAAGGACUUCAUCACCAAACAUAAUGUUCCAAAUGAUGUCCCCGAUGAACCAGAGGAAAUCUCUUCAGAAGAUGAUGGUGAAAUCCCUGAAAAAGUUCAUGUGAAGUCGAAAAAGAGGAAAUAAUUUCUUUUUCCUCCCGUAGACGCACAUUUAAAUUCCAGGAAAUGUAAUAGACUGCAUAAAAUUCAGUGUCAAGCAUGUUACUCCAUUAACAAUUUAUACGCUCUUUCCUUGCUAUAUUUUAUUUUUAUUCUUCC
Long non-coding RNA from Cornus florida, 794 nucleotides. RefSeq lists it as uncharacterized. The record is from RefSeq and is a predicted model, not a curated record. NCBI's taxonomy places the organism in Eukaryota, Viridiplantae, Streptophyta, Magnoliopsida, Cornales, Cornaceae. The transcript has 2 exons.